UACGUAGGCAGCGAGCGUUGUUCGGAGUUACUGGGCGUAAAGGGUGUGUAGGCGGUUAUUUAAGUUUGGUGUGAAAUCUCCCGGCUCAACCGGGAGGGUGCGCCGAAUACUGAAUGACUUGGAGUGCGGGAGAGGUGAGUGGAAUUCCUGGUGUAGCGGUGAAAUGCGUAGAUAUCAGGAGGAACACCGGUGGUGUAGACGGCUCACUGGACCGUAACUGACGCUGAGGCGCGAAAGCGUGGGGAGCAAACAGG
Molecule: ribosomal RNA, 254 nt
Filed under: uncultured bacterium
Lineage: Bacteria
Description: partial 16S ribosomal RNA
Rfam family: Bacterial small subunit ribosomal RNA
Source: RNAcentral